RNAcentral lists this transfer RNA (69 nucleotides) under Sigara septemlineata. RNAcentral describes it as "tRNA-Arg". Lineage: Eukaryota; Metazoa; Arthropoda; Insecta; Hemiptera; Corixidae. The record is from RNAcentral.
GUAGACAGUGAAGUAAGAAAUACACUUAGUUUCGACCUAAGAUUUAGAGAUUUAUUCUCCAUGUCUAUU